UACAGAGGUGGCAAGCGUUGUUCGGAAUUACUGGGCGUAAAGGGCGCGUAGGCGGUUUUGUAAGUCCCGCGUGAAAUCCCCCGGCUCAACUGGGGAACUGCGUGGGAAACUGCGAGGCUUGAGUUCGGGAGAGGGAAGCGGAAUUCCGGGUGUAGCGGUGAAAUGCGUAGAUAUCCGGAGGAACACCGGUGGCGAAGGCGGCUUCCUGGACCGACACUGACGCUGAGGCGCGAAAGCUAGGGGAGCAAACGGG
Molecule: ribosomal RNA, 253 nt
Filed under: uncultured bacterium
Lineage: Bacteria
Description: partial 16S ribosomal RNA
Rfam family: Bacterial small subunit ribosomal RNA
Source: RNAcentral